GACGAACGCUGGCGGCGUGCCUAAUACAUGCAAGUAGAACGCUGAAGGAGGAGCUUGCUUCUCUGGAUGAGUUGCGAACGGGUGAGUAACGCGUAGGUAACCUGCCUGGUAGCGGGGGAUAACUAUUGGAAACGAUAGCUAAUACCGCAUAAGAGUAGAUGUUGCAUGACAUUUACUUAAAAGGUGCAAUUGCAUCACUACCAGAUGGACCUGCGUUGUAUUAGCUAGUUGGUGAGGUAACGGCUCACCAAGGCAACGAUACAUAGCCGACCUGAGAGGGGGGUCGGCCACACUGGGACUGAGACACGGCCCAGACUCCUACGGGAGGCAGCAGUAGGGAAUCUUCGGCAAUGGACGGAAGUCUGACCGAGCAACGCCGCGUGAGUGAAGAAGGUUUUCGGAUCGUAAAGCUCUGUUGUAAGAGAAGAACGAGUGUGAGAGUGGAAAGUUCACACUGUGACGGUAUCUUACCAGAAAGGGACGGCUAACUACGUG
This 495-nucleotide ribosomal RNA is filed under the name uncultured bacterium. RNAcentral's name for it is "partial 16S ribosomal RNA". It matches the Rfam family "Bacterial small subunit ribosomal RNA", at positions 28 to 507 of the family's 1533-position model. The record is from RNAcentral.